Molecule: ribosomal RNA, 436 nt
Filed under: Leifsonia sp. MMA-BI-2
Lineage: Bacteria; Bacillati; Actinomycetota; Actinomycetes; Micrococcales; Microbacteriaceae
Description: bacterial SSU rRNA
Rfam family: Bacterial small subunit ribosomal RNA
Source: RNAcentral
GACGAACGCUGGCGGCGUGCUUAACACAUGCAAGUCGAACGAUGAACCUGGAGCUUGCUCUAGGGAAUUAGUGGCGAACGGGUGAGUAACACGUUAGUAACCUGCCCUUGACUCUGGGAUAACCUCCGGAAACGGAAGCUAAUACCGGAUAUGACGCACGGAGGCAUCUCCUGUGCGUGGAAAGAACUUCGGUCAAGGAUGGACUCGCGGCCUAUCAGGUAGUUGGUGAGGUAACGGCUCACCAAGCCUACGACGGGUAGCCGGCCUGAGAGGGUGACCGGCCACACUGGGACUGAGACACGGCCCAGACUCCUACGGGAGGCAGCAGUGGGGAAUAUUGCACAAUGGGCGCAAGCCUGAUGCAGCAACGCCGCGUGAGGGACGACGGCCUUCGGGUUGUAAACCUCUUUUAGUAGGGAAGAAGCGAAAGUGACGG